AAACUGCUAUGGUUGACCUGCCCAGAUGAAUCUUAGUCCGGCUCGUGCUGCGAUGCCCAGUGUGUCAGUCCUCAUUCCUGGGGCGCCAAAUGGGGCAGCUUUUUAUUUUAUUUUUUUUAUUUUGAGACAGUCUCGUUCUGUUGCCCAAGCUGGAGUGUAGUGGCACAAUCUCGGCUCACUGCAACCUUCGCCUCCCGGAUUCAAGCGAUUCUCCUGCCUCAGCCUCCUGAGUAGCUGGGAUUACAGACGCGCAUCACCACACCUGGCUAAUUUUUGUAUUUUUAGGUUUCACCAUGUCGGUCAGGCUGGUCUCAAACUCCUGACCUCAUGAUCCGCCCACCUCGGUCUCCCAGAGUGCUGGGAUUACAGGCGUGAGCCACUGCGCCCAGUUAUAAAUGGGGUAACUUAAACGUAAUGGUCUAGUGUGCCCUGACCUCCCCACUCGGACCUCCACAGCAUUUCCGGCGUUCAGUCACUCCGACCAGAGCUCCCCUGUAUGAGUGAGGGUGGGGGUCGCCCACCCCACCCUGGGCUCCCUCCUGGGACACACCCACUCUUUCAGCUUUUUGUAACUACUUUUCACUUGGAGAGUUUCCUGAAAUACUAAUUUGUAUAAAAAAUAGAUAUCUGGUCUGGGUGCUGUGGCGUAUGCCUACAAUUCCAACUCUGGCAGGCUGAGGCGGGAAGUUGGCUUGAAGCCAGGAGUUGGAGACCAGCCUGGGCAACAUGGAGAGACCCUACCCCACAAAACUGAAUCUUAACCAAAACAUUUUUUUAAUUUAGCUGGGUGUGGUGUAGUCCUGUAGUCCCAGCUCACCUGUAGUCCCAGCUACUGGGGAGGCUGAGGAGGAAGGAUCACUUGAGCCCAGGAGUUCCAGGCUGCAGUGAGCUCUGAUGGUACCACAGUGCUCUAGCCUGGGCAACAGAGCCAGACUCUGUCUCAAAAACAAACAAACAAAAACCUCUGAAUUGUGGGUUCAGUGCUUUUUGUUUGUUUGUUUGAGACACAGUCUGUUGUCCAGGCUGGAGUGCAGUGGCGCAAUCUCAAGCUACUACAACCUCUGCCUUCCAUGUUCAAGCAGUUCUCCCACCCUAGCCUCCCAAGUGGCUGGGAUUACAGGCGUCUGCCACCAUGCCUGGCUAAUUUUUUUGUAUUUACAGUAGAGACAGUUUUACCAUGUUGGCCAGGUUGGUCUCGAACUCCUGACCUCAAGUGUUCCACCUGCCUUGGCCUCCCAAAGUACUGUAAUUACAGGCAGUAGCCACCAUACCCCCCUUGCAUUCAGUUUUUUUUUCAAUGUCAGUGGAUUUAUCCUGGACCCUGAGCUUCUCUAGGUAGCAGAAGACCCCUGAACUGCAGAACAGAACGUGAGAGUUCCCACCUGCUCCCUAUGUUACUUGGGGAAGGGCCCCUAAGUUCUGUGAGCCUCCAUUUAUUUUUGUGUAAAAUGUAAGUGGAUUCAGGAAUCCUUUCUUCAUUUUUUUUUUAAAUUAUCCAAACUGCUUCAAAAAAGUUCAGGAAUCUUGAGGCUUUCCUGGAAUUGACUGAUGCUCAGUCAACAGGCAUGUUUGUGUACCAUUUUUCAUUAUGAGUUUCCACAUUGUUCAUUUUAUCUUUCCAGGAAGGGCUGUGGAACGUCAGAUGGAAUGGAUAGCAUAGCCCGAAUUUUACAAAAAGAGUUUUUUUAAAGGAAGAUCUCAGUGGUGAAACACUAGAGGCUUUCCUGCUAAAGUCAAGAAUAAAGUAUGUCUACUAUCUCUCCACUGUGCAGCUGGGAAAAGAAAUAGUGAGAAGAAAAUCUGAGAACCAAGACACAGAGAGGAGAGACAGGAGAGAGGGGCGGGGCAGAGACAACACCAUCCACAGAAGAAAAGGCACAAAAGGGAUGGAGCACCAGGAGUGAUGGUGUGUGUCUCCAGUCCCAGCCACCCAGGAGGAUGAGGCAGGAUUGCUUGAGCCCAGGAGGUGGAGGCUGCAGUGUGCCAUGAUUUCACAACUGUACUCCAGCCUAGGACCCGAACCACUGGCUCCCUUCUCUGGCCUCUGUCUCGACCCCUCGUCUCCCACACUUUAAACUUCCCCAGUCUGCAAAAGAAAAGAUCUCAGGGGAGCAUGAAGCGGCAGGCUGGACCCCCAAGUCU
Callithrix jacchus (white-tufted-ear marmoset) is the source of this 2142-nucleotide long non-coding RNA. RefSeq lists it as uncharacterized. Lineage: Eukaryota; Metazoa; Chordata; Mammalia; Primates; Cebidae. The record is from RefSeq and is a predicted model, not a curated record.